UGAGUAGUUCUCAUCAGAAGGUAAUAAUGGGGAAAAAGAAUAAAUAAACAGAAGUGGGAUUCUCUUUGUAGAGAGAUGAAAAUCAGAGAGAUGUACUAAAUGGAGGUGAAAUCUGUUCUAUUACAGGGGGAAAUAUAUCCAGAGAAAUUAGUAAAAUUAAAAGGGUUAAGUCAGUGGACUCACAUACUAGACACUAAGACAUGGAAAACCUGACAGACUUCUACCUAUGAGGUGAUUGGAUCAUGUGGGUGGUUUCUCAUGAAUGGUUUAGCACCACCGCCUUGAUGCUAUUCUCACGAUAGUGAGUGAGUUUUCACGAGAUCUGGUCAUUUAAAAGUGUGUAGCACCUCCCCCUAUCUCUCUUGCUCCUGCUCUGCCACGUAGAAGUGCCUGCUUCCGCAUUGCCUUCUGCCAUGAUCAUAAGUUUCCUGAGGCCUCUCCAGAAGAGGAAGCCCCUGUGACUCCUGCAAAACCUGCAGAACAAUGAGCAAAUUAACCUUCUUUUCUUUAUAAAUUACCCAGUCUCAGGUAUUUCUUUAGAGCAGUGUGAGAAUGGGUUAAUACAGUGUCUUAAUAAAAGCACUCAGUGUAUAAGGGUAUUCAAUAAGUGACUUCUUAUUUUUUGUGUGUCUGUGCACAAUUGCCUAUGGCACUAGCUCAGCACUAGCUUGUACGUGGUAGGCCCUCAAUAUAUAGCAAGUGAUUAUGGUGAUUAUUUAAUAUCUUUGUGUGUAUCUGUGUCCCAUGUCAUCGGACACUGGCUAGUACACAGUAGCACUCAAUGAAUAUUUGUAGAUAAUAAACGUAUGUUUGAACUGCUUGAUUAAUAGCUCAUAACAUGUAAUAAUCCAUUUGUUGUGUGUUUUUUACUAAAAAAUAGACUGCUGCUCUGCCCACAAAGAAUUCCAGAGCAUGCUCUUUGACUGGAGGUCUGUCUCACUUCUAUGGGUAGAACAUACCUGGAUCAAGUACUGGUACGAUGUGUUUGGAACAAAAGAUCUGUUAUCUGUUCCUGUUCCCCUACGGAUAGGAAAGAAAUGAAACUCUAGAUGAUCUUUC
This 1059-nucleotide long non-coding RNA is filed under the name Homo sapiens (human). RNAcentral's name for it is "HSALNT0186786". Lineage: Eukaryota; Metazoa; Chordata; Mammalia; Primates; Hominidae. The record is from RNAcentral.